RNAcentral lists this ribosomal RNA (1358 nucleotides) under uncultured bacterium. RNAcentral's name for it is "bacterial SSU rRNA". It matches the Rfam family "Bacterial small subunit ribosomal RNA". The record is from RNAcentral.
AGAGUUUGAUCCUGGCUCAGGACGAACGCUGGCGGCGCGCCUAACACAUGCAAGUCGAACGAGCGAGAGAGAGCUUGCUUUCUCGAGCGAGUGGCGAACGGGUGAGUAACGCGUGAGGAACCUGCCUCAAAGAGGGGGACAACAGUUGGAAACGACUGCUAAUACCGCAUAAGCCCACGGUGCCGCAUGGCACAGAGGGAAAAGGAGCAAUCCGCUUUGAGAUGGCCUCGCGUCCGAUUAGCUAGUUGGUGAGGUAAUGGCCCACCAAGGCGACGAUCGGUAGCCGGACUGAGAGGUUGAACGGCCACAUUGGGACUGAGACACGGCCCAGACUCCUACGGGAGGCAGCAGUGGGGAAUAUUGCACAAUGGGGGAAACCCUGAUGCAGCGACGCCGCGUGGAGGAAGAAGGUCUUCGGAUUGUAAACUCCUGUUGUUGGGGAAGAUAAUGACGGUACCCAACAAGGAAGUGACGGCUAACUACGUGCCAGCAGCCGCGGUAAAACGUAGGUCACAAGCGUUGUCCGGAAUUACUGGGUGUAAAGGGAGCGCAGGCGGGAAGACAAGUUGGAAGUGAAAUCUAUGGGCUCAACCCAUAAACUGCUUUCAAAACUGUUUUUCUUGAGUAGUGCAGAGGUAGGCGGAAUUCCCGGUGUAGCGGUGGAAUGCGUAGAUAUCGGGAGGAACACCAGUGGCGAAGGCGGGCCUACUGGGCACCAACUGACGCUGAGGCUCGAAAGUGUGGGUAGCAAACAGGAUUAGAUACCCUAGUCCACACCGUACGAUGAUUACUGUUGGAGGAUUGACCCCUUCAGUGCCAUAACAACAAUAAGUAAUCCACCUGGGGAGUACGACCGCAAGGUUGAAACUCAAAGGAAUUGACGGGGGCCCGCACAAGCAGUGGAGUAUGUGGUUUAAUUCGACGCAACGCGAAGAACCUUACCAAGUCUUGACAUCCCUUGACAGACAUAGAAAUAUGUAAUCUCUUCGGAGCAAGGAGACAGGUGGUGCAUGGUUGUCGUCAGCUCGUGUCGUGAGAUGUUGGGUUAAGUCCCGCAACGAGCGCAACCCUUAUGGUCAGUUACUACGCAAGAGGACUCUGGCCAGACUGCCGUUGACAAAACGGAGGAAGGUGGGGAUGACGUCAAAUCAUCAUGCCCUUUAUGACUUGGGCUACACACGUACUACAAUGGCGUUAAACAAAGAGAAGCAAGACCGCGAGGUGGAGCAAAACUCAGAAACAACGUCCCAGUUCGGACUGCAGGCUGCAACUCGCCUGCACGAAGUCGGAAUUGCUAGUAAUCGUGGAUCAGCAUGCCACGGUGAAUACGUUCCCGGGCCUUGCACACACCGCCCGUC